GCAUCAUGAUUUACAUUUGAGUGAGUGGCGAACUGGUGAGUAACACGUGGGAAACCUGCCCAGAAGCGGGGGAUAACACCUGGAAACAGAUGCUAAUACCGCAUAACAACUUGGACCGCAUGGUCCGAGUUUGAAAGAUGGCUUCGGCUAUCACUUUUGGAUGGUCCCGCGGCGUAUUAGCUAGAUGGUGGGGUAACGGCUCACCAUGGCAAUGAUACGUAGCCGACCUGAGAGGGUAAUCGGCCACAUUGGGACUGAGACACGGCCCAAACUCCUACGGGAGGCAGCAGUAGGGAAUCUUCCACAAUGGACGAAAGUCUGAUGGAGCAACGCCGCGUGAGUGAAGAAGGGUUUCGGCUCGUAAAACUCUGUUGUUAAAGAAGAACAUAUCUGAGAGUAACUGUUCAGGUAUUGACGGUAUUUAACCAGAAAGCCACGGCUAACUACGUGCCAGCAGCCGCGGUAAUACGUAGGUGGCAAGCGUUGUCCGGAUUUAUUGGGCGUAAAGCGAGCGCAGGCGGUUUUUUAAGUCUGAUGUGAAAGCCUUCGGCUCAACCGAAGAAGUGCAUCGGAAACUGGGAAACUUGAGUGCAGAAGAGGACAGUGGAACUCCAUGUGUAGCGGUGAAAUGCGUAGAUAUAUGGAAGAACACCAGUGGCGAAGGCGGCUGUCUGGUCUGUAACUGACGCUGAGGCUCGAAAGUAUGGGUAGCAAACAGGAUUAGAUACCCUGGUAGUCCAUACCGUAAACGAUGAAUGCUAAGUGUUGGAGGGUUUCCGCCCUUCAGUGCUGCAGCUAACGCAUUAAGCAUUCCGCCUGGGGAGUACGGCCGCAAGGCUGAAACUCAAAGGAAUUGACGGGGGCCCGCACAAGCGGUGGAGCAUGUGGUUUAAUUCGAAGCUACGCGAAGAACCUUACCAGGUCUUGACAUACUAUGCAAAUCUAAGAGAUUAGACGUUCCCUUCGGGGACAUGGAUACAGGUGGUGCAUGGUUGUCGUCAGCUCGUGUCGUGAGAUGUUGGGUUAAGUCCCGCAACGAGCGCAACCCUUAUUAUCAGUUGCCAGCAUUAAGUUGGGCACUCUGGUGAGACUGCCGGUGACAAACCGGAGGAAGGUGGGGAUGACGUCAAAUCAUCAUGCCCCUUAUGACCUGGGCUACACACGUGCUACAAUGGAUGGUACAACGAGUUGCGAACUCGCGAGAGUAAGCUAAUCUCUUAAAGCCAUUCUCAGUUCGGAUUGUAGGCUGCAACUCGCCUACAUGAAGUCGGAAUCGCUAGUAAUCGCGGAUCAGCAUGCCGCGGUGAAUACGUUCCCGGGCCUUGUACACACCGCCCGUCACACCAUGAGAGUUUGUAACACCCAAAG
This 1368-nucleotide ribosomal RNA is filed under the name Lactiplantibacillus pentosus. RNAcentral describes it as "bacterial SSU rRNA". It matches the Rfam family "Bacterial small subunit ribosomal RNA", at positions 69 to 1426 of the family's 1533-position model. Lineage: Bacteria; Bacillati; Bacillota; Bacilli; Lactobacillales; Lactobacillaceae. The record is from RNAcentral.